CCGACAUUGCCGCUUGUGUAACUGUCAUUGGAUGGGAUUUUGAAUGUUAAUGCCUGACUGGGUACAUACACUGUCCAUCAAAUGAAACCGGAAGAAAGGUUACAUAUCAAAACAAUGUGUAAGGAAGUAUAGUGGUGUGUCCUUACCGAGCUGUUACGGUGAGUGUAUUGUGGCAUGAUAUUCUAACUGUUGUCUGGUUUGAAACGCCGGUUGUUUAUUUGCAUGUGUUGUAGCAGGCUAGUGAACGUGACAUGAACCUAACCUUCAGCCAAUAAUGUUAUCUUGUUGUGAACCGUUUCCUCAGCCAUGCCAACUUCCCCGGUAAAGACUCGGAUCCCGCUCACGAGCUUCGGUCAUCUGAUCACCGAGGUGAAGAGACAGUUGUUUGGUAUGGAGGCUCCAGCUACUGUUAACCUGACUGGCUGGAGGAGACAUUUCAACAGCUACACACUACAGGGCCGACGCAACGUAAGAUACUCACACACUCUCACACACACACUCACACUCACACACACACACACACACACACACACACACACACUAGCUGCUGCUGCCAUAGCUCUAGAAGAGUAUUAUACUGCUGACAUAACCUCUCUCUGUCUCUUUUUCUCUCUCUCUAGUUUGUCCUGGCUACCUAUGGUGUCCUAGCGUUGUCAGCAGCAGCCUAUAUGAUACACAAACGGAGUAAAGAGGACCCCAGAGUAGCCAGCCCCACUGCCUGACUGACACCCUCUCUCAAUGUCCAACGCUUUAUUGACCUGAUAUUCACAUUGUUUUCCAAUACUACCAAAUCAGAGAUUCAUAACAGCAGCGCUCUCCCUCUCUUCCGCUCUCUCUCUCUCCCUCCCUCUCUCCCUCCCUCUCUUCCGCUCCCUCCCUCCCUCUCGCUCUCUCUCUCAAUGUUAAUAAAUAGAAUUUAAUCCAGUCACGAUGUCUCUGUGUCGUCUUGGUUUAAUCUCUAACCCAGAAUAGAACAGAGCAGAAUCCAUUCUGGUAUUCAGACUAACCGGUAACCAUGACAACACCCUACUGGGAGCUCCAGGCUGUAGCGUGUAUGUCUGGCCACAGGGUGGCGCUGGGGAGAG
RNAcentral lists this long non-coding RNA (1085 nucleotides) under Salmo trutta (river trout). RNAcentral's name for it is "lncRNA (ENSSTUG00000022797.1)". The record is from RNAcentral. Lineage: Eukaryota; Metazoa; Chordata; Actinopteri; Salmoniformes; Salmonidae.